Long non-coding RNA from Thunnus maccoyii (southern bluefin tuna), 2535 nucleotides. RefSeq lists it as uncharacterized. The transcript has 3 exons. The record is from RefSeq and is a predicted model, not a curated record. NCBI's taxonomy places the organism in Eukaryota, Metazoa, Chordata, Actinopteri, Scombriformes, Scombridae.
UUAAACUUUUUUUAGACUGGGCUUCACCCUCCCCCUUCUAAAAGUCUAGAUGUCCUCAUCUGACUCUGUAUCUUAUACGUAGGUUGGAUUGGUGUUUUCUCGCCUUGCUUGACAGGUUCUUGGAAGGUUUAGGGUUUUUGACUGAUGUACUAACAUCUCUGUCCUGGGAACUAAGGUUCAACUGAAUAACCAUUCCUUGAUGCACAAUGGUCACAGGUUCCUCAGUAGGAUGUUUCACUGUGAUGUUGGGGGUUGUGUGAGCUCCUCGCUCUACAUCAGUGUCUUCAGCAGUAUCAUUGGUUUGCACCUCCUCAUUUUCUGACUGAUGAGAGGCAGCAUCAUCGGGUGAUUCCUCACUCUGUAGUGCCAACUCUACCAAAACAGAUGUCAACAGGUAGCCUUGCCUCUCUCCCGGACAUUAAGAAAUAUGGAGAGUAUCCUGUAGCGUCUCUAGAUACUCCUGGUUCAACACUGCAGAUAGGACAUUCAUGCUAGCAUCUACAUGUAAAAUGUAGGACUUAGUGGGGUCAGCGAAGGCUAAGACUGGGGCAUGUAUAAGACAGUCGAUGAUCUUUCUGAAAACCUCUCGAUAAGCCUGAUCCCAACUUUGAAGUAUGUCUUGUUUGGGUCUUUUGCUUGCUUCCCUCUCUGAGCUGGUGAGUAGCCUUUUGUGAGCUCAGUUAGUGGGCAUUGGUGGAGUAGUUUGAAAUGAAUCUUCGAUAAUAUCCACAGAAGCCAAGAAAUUACAUCAGGGACUUGAGAUCUGUUGGCUCUUGCCAGUUUUUUACCACUUCCACUUUUUCUGGGUUGGUGGCAAUACCUGACUGUGAGACUUUGUGGCCUACAUACUUGACUCUGGGCUGACACUGGCGCUUGAGUAAUGCCCUGUGGCAUUCUCUCAAAUUGACAGAAUCUGAGAGGGCAGAUGAAUGCAGUCUUCUCUUUGCCCUCUUCAGCCAUGGCUAUCUGGUAAUAGCCGCUCCAAAGGUCAAGUACCAAGAACCACUUGCUGCCUGAGAGAAAGUCUAGGGCAUCAUUGAUACGAGGCAUUGUGUACUGGUCUGAUAUAGUGGGACUGUCGAUGCAGAUUCUGAUGGUUCCGUCCUUUUUAUGCACCACCACAAUUGGUGAGGCAUAAGGGCUUCGGAACUCUUUCAACACUCCAGCUGCUAGUAGCUGCUGUAAGUGUUGUCACACAUCGUCAAUGUCAGCUGGUGCCAAGCGACAUGAUCUUUUCCUAAACGGGGUGGGGUUGCUUAGGCAUAUUUGGUGCUCUUGACCCUUGGCCAAGCCAACAUCCCACUUAUGCAAGGAAAAUACAUUUCAUCUCUGAGCUAGCUUCAGGUGAAGCCGAUUCUUCCAAUCCUCUGGGAUAGGGGAUUCACCGAAAUCAAAAAGAUCUGGUUCUAUAACAUCUGCUGAGAGGUCAGAUGGCUGGACUGAGGUCACUGUAUCUAGCAUACAUCUCUGCAUAUCUAUCCCAACUUGAAUGGAGGUGGGCUUUUGGGACUCAUGAAUGAGCACUGUGAAAUGGUUUGUGUCUAUUUCAGCAUUCGGAAGCACACCUGGCUGUACAAGCACGCCAGCUGGGAGUGCCGAUGCAGACAGUGCAUCAAUCAGCACAAUGUCUUUUGAUGUAGUGGUCAGUCUGUCUACUUUGCAGAUGGCGUAAUACCUUUCGCCUGGGGCUGUUGAGAGUGGACCAGGUCCUUGCCAUUUCACCUGUCCAAUGACAUCAUCCACUGCCUUUGACUGAGGAAGGGGCUUGGUGGCAAUGUUGUGGCUCAGGACAGAUGAGGGCAAGAACGACAACAGAUCCUUUAACUCCAUGGCAAUAGAUGAUGGACCCACAAGCCCUUCAGUGAGUUUGUGUCCAUGUGUUUGCUCUUUUGCAGAUGUCUUAUAAUUUGAUUUGCUCACUCAGACCAUGUCACUGAGGGAGAUGCUGCAGGAUCGGUUUCCUUGGUAACAGCUCACAGGAUACAGAUGGGAUGCUGGAACAGAAAGAAUGAAGAAUGUGGUCACAUGCUCUCAGGGCUCUGAAGACACUGAACGAGAAUAUUUGCACGUUCCCUGUCUGUUAGUUCCUUUUUUUCUCUCUUUUCUUUUGAGGUAAGACUGAAUCAUUGAAAUUCCACGAAAAACUGUAUUGCACAGAAAAAGAAUCACCCACAAGAAGAAGGAACCUGAGGUUUCUGAUAAAGGUCCGGAUUUGGUAUCAUUGUUACAACAGAUUUCCUGUCACUUCAGAAACACCCAUAUCUUUUGAUGAAUCAAAUUAAUUAGUGUUGAUUUAAGUCUGAUACAGACCUUAGGAAAUGGUGUGGUGUUAUCUUGGUUAAGCAAAAAAAACAAACUUGUGAUGUAAGGCCACAUGUCCAUAAGUACACUUAGCGGUUCUGAGGUAUUCUAACAUAUAUGUUGUAAUAAGUUAAUAUCACAUGUUUUCAGGUUCAGUCAUAGUUGUGAACUGAAGCGUGAACUCUGAACAUCUCUUGGCAACACUUCCUGUUUACAUCACCGUGACAUCUCUUC